CAGCCGCCCGGUAAUACAGAGGGUGCGAGCGUUAAUCGGAUUUACUGGGCGUAAAGCGUGCGUAGGCGGCUUCUUAAGUCGGAUGUGAAAUCCCUGAGCUUAACUUAGGAAUUGCAUUCGAUACUGGGAAGCUAGAGUAUGGGAGAGGAUGGUAGAAUUCCAGGUGUAGCGUUGAAAUGCGUAGAGAUCUGGAGGAAUACCGAUGGCGAAGGCAGCCAUCUGGCCUAAUACUGACGCUGAGGUACGAAAGCAUGGGGAGCAAACAGGAUUAGAUACCCCCGUAGUCCCUGUCUCUUAUACA
Molecule: ribosomal RNA, 301 nt
Filed under: uncultured bacterium
Lineage: Bacteria
Description: partial 16S ribosomal RNA
Rfam family: Bacterial small subunit ribosomal RNA
Source: RNAcentral